GAUUCUGUCACUCGUGAAUUAAAGUCAGCUCCUCCUAAUAGUCUCACAAUGCGUCUAGCCAAAGCUUUCUGUAACAUUCAUAAUGAUUAUGGUCUUAAAGCAAUGGCUCAUAUUUGGUAUGAAGUGAUACAGGAACUGCGCUACAGGUGGGAGAAUGGUAUAGCGUUACCAAGUUUAGGGAAGAGUCAUCCUGACAUGUCUUGUUGUCUCUUACAUCAGAAACUACAGGUAAACCAUUAUAUU
Long non-coding RNA from Amphimedon queenslandica, 243 nucleotides. RefSeq lists it as uncharacterized. NCBI's taxonomy places the organism in Eukaryota, Metazoa, Porifera, Demospongiae, Haplosclerida, Niphatidae. The record is from RefSeq and is a predicted model, not a curated record. The transcript is spliced from 3 exons.